This is an RNA transcript of Entelurus aequoreus (snake pipefish), 1444 nucleotides long. It is a transcript of the gene named B9 domain-containing protein 1-like, with no coding region annotated. The transcript is spliced from 9 exons. The record is from RefSeq and is a predicted model, not a curated record. NCBI's taxonomy places the organism in Eukaryota, Metazoa, Chordata, Actinopteri, Syngnathiformes, Syngnathidae.
UGUCCCUCCUGGCGUUUCGUAGCUGGCGUCGCCUUGGCAACAGCAGGCAGGCGUUUGGCUAGCGCGACGAGCGAGCUAAAUGUUUCUUCGAAGACGCUCGCCGCUAAAACGUCUUUCGACGUUAAAACCGGAGCUGUGAUGGCCGCGAGUAACCCGUCGGUGUUCCUCCUCUCGGUCAACGGACAGAUUGAAGGCGCUGACUUCCCCUCCUAUGACAACUUAUACUGCAAAUACUGCUACGUUUACGGCCAAGACUGGAUUCCGACCACCGGUUUGGAGGAGGGCAUCACUCAAAUAACAUGUAAAGGCAGUCAGGCGUCCCACAAGCUGAUCUGGAACUUCCCGCUGGAUGUAACGUUCAAGAGUACGAACCCUUCAGGGUGGCCUCAGCUUGUGGUGAGCGUUUAUGGACCGGACGUGUUCGGCAACGACGUGGUCCGAGGCUACGGAGCGACACACAUCCCCAUCACACCUGGACAACACACCAGGACCAUGGCCAUGUUUGUUCCUGAGCCCACAUGGAGACUUCAGAAGUUCACCAGCUGGCUAAUGGGUCGCCGGCCCGAGUACACGGACCCUAAAGUAGUCGCCCAAGGCGAAGGGAGAGAAGUGACACGAGUUUGCUCCCAAGGAUUUGUCACCGUGUGCUUCAGCAUCAUGAUGAAGGACCUGAAGAAACUGGGCUACGACUCGGGACCUGCAAACCCCCAAUCUCACGCCGCGUCCAGCUGGUCCACAGAAGACCAAAGUAACUUCUGAUCUUCUCUGCGAACAACCUUUUAUAUUUAAACCUCGCUUUUGUGCUGCAAUGCUGCAGUGAGCCCUUCUGUUUAGGCUGAGCCUUCAACUGCAAGUAGAAGUGCCAUUCCAUCUUCUAAUUGUCCAUAGUGUGUCUACUCCUACGGAUUCUUCAUUAAUCACUCCAAGCAACGUUUAAAUUGUACCCAUCUGAGGACACAGAGGAAAAACAACACAGACUCCGUGUCAAUAGAGAGACGAGGACAGGGUGAGUACCAGCAGGGACAGAGGAGGAGGAGCGCAGGCUGUCAAACUCUGAGAAGUCCUCUUUGGACGUACCAUUGGAUUCAGUGAACAGGUCAAAGCUACCUACAGGAGGACAACAUACACAUAUAAAGCAAACACGCAUGGAUGGAAACAGACAAAACCAAUAUGGAUAUCCUUGGAGACGAAAUGAGACAUGCAUGCAAGGAGGUGAGUACAUUUCCAUGAGGGUUACCUGUGUUGGAAGCCUUGGGGCGAGUAGCGGCUGAUCCCCAGGGGUCAGACGCAGGGGUGGAAUUUGAAGCCCAGGGAUCACUGCUCUUCAUGGGUGGCACAGAGGUAGGAGCCCCCCAUGGGUCCGCUGCCCUUUUAGGAGUAGAACCUUGGGAGAAAGAAGGGCUUAAGUAGGGCUGGGCGACAAAACGAUAGUACAUAUUGCAAA